GGCAAGGACAUAGAAGCCCGGC
This 22-nucleotide microRNA is filed under the name Heligmosomoides polygyrus. RNAcentral's name for it is "hpo-miR-10073-3p". Lineage: Eukaryota; Metazoa; Nematoda; Chromadorea; Rhabditida; Heligmosomidae. The record is from miRBase by way of RNAcentral.